Haliotis rubra (blacklip abalone) is the source of this 1017-nucleotide long non-coding RNA. RefSeq lists it as uncharacterized. The record is from RefSeq and is a predicted model, not a curated record. The transcript is spliced from 3 exons. Lineage: Eukaryota; Metazoa; Mollusca; Gastropoda; Lepetellida; Haliotidae.
CUGAAAUACAGAGUGGCGAGACAAAGAAAGGAUUGUAGGCUGGGCAUGUCACCCAACACCAAAGUUAAAUGGCUCGUCCAUAACAGUCAUCAAGGACUGGAACACCAAAGGUAAUGUUGUAGCAACAUAUAACUGAAUGUUGUUGAGAAAAUCAAAAUGAAUGAUUAUAAGGCAUCAGUCUCAGACUUUGUAAACUCGUUUAUGCAUCAAGCUUCAUGUAUAACCUGCUACUUGGGACAGACUGACCAAAUUGAAACAACUGUUUGGCUGGACCUUUGAUGCCUUGAACCGCCAGAGACGAAUGUGAAACAGGAGAAUAUUUUCACAUUGGUGACUACAGGGGUAACAGACAUACAAGGGUAUAUUUAUAAGCGUGCAUUGCUUUGGUCAGUCUUCAGUUCAUCCGAAUAAUUCUUAUUUCUCUUUUUUUCCAACAGCACCAAACAAGCACAAACAUUGGUAUGAAGAGGAGGAAAAAUAAAUAACACAAAUUAUCUGUACAUAGGCCAGGACUGGGAGUUGGUCUUGUGGUUCCUUCUGGUGUUGAAGAUGUAUUAUCUAAACUGACAGAAAAACACACUAAGAGAGAAAUCACAGAGGCUUCUCAAACACGUGCUACAAUGCUGAUUUAUCGAUACUAUACAUGACAUGAUGCAUUGACAAUACUGGAACAUUAUUAUUAUGGUUUACCAGAUCAUAUGCAGUUUAUAUCUUUUGACAACCUUCUUUUGAUGAUGUCUGCAAAUAAGAACAUCAGACGUCAAUUUUUGGAAAAAACAUAAGAAGCUAUGUUUUCCAUUUUCAACAUCAAUUGUUUAGAAUUGUCCUGCGAAAUAUUGCAUUAUGUCAUGUAUCAUGUUAAGAAGAGAAAUGUUGCCACAUCUCUCAGUUGUGCAUAACUUCAGUAUAUUGUUUCAGCCCUGGGUGAACAUCAUCAAGGGUUGUACCCAUGUGUUGAGCAUUACCGAUUUUUAUUCAUGCAAUAAGAACAAGAAAAAAUUAUGUAAAUGUGACUGA